AACCCUUCAAGCAACGCUUGGUGUUGGGCGCUUGUCCCCGCCUCUGGGCGCGGACUCGCCUCGAAAACAUUGGCGGCCUGUGUAUUGGCUUCGAGCGCAGCAGACCCGCGCCUCGUCCCCUCUCCGCGCAGGCGCUCCAGGAAGCGUCACCCCCCAA
RNAcentral lists this unclassified non-coding RNA (157 nucleotides) under uncultured Ascomycota. RNAcentral describes it as "sequence contains ITS2". Lineage: Eukaryota; Fungi; Ascomycota. The record is from RNAcentral.